UCCCCGGUAGCUCAGUUGGUAGAGCAGGCGGCUGUUAACCGCCUUGUCGCUGGUUCGAGUCCGGCCCGGGGAG
Molecule: transfer RNA, 73 nt
Filed under: Geoalkalibacter ferrihydriticus DSM 17813
Lineage: Bacteria; Pseudomonadati; Thermodesulfobacteriota; Desulfuromonadia; Desulfuromonadales; Geoalkalibacteraceae
Also listed under: 3 other names
Rfam family: tRNA
About the family: Transfer RNA (tRNA) molecules are approximately 80 nucleotides in length. Their secondary structure includes four short double-helical elements and three loops (D, anti-codon, and T loops).
Source: Rfam by way of RNAcentral